Molecule: long non-coding RNA, 808 nt
Filed under: Anser brachyrhynchus (Pink-footed goose)
Lineage: Eukaryota; Metazoa; Chordata; Aves; Anseriformes; Anatidae
Description: lncRNA (ENSABRG00000020719.1)
Source: RNAcentral
GGAAGGGUUUAGCUUUGUAAGCAUGAACUGUGCCUUAUCACUUCCCCUCAGAACAAGACAGGAGGAAAGGCCAUCUUCUGUGUUAUUUACUGUUAGAGCUGCAGCAAAUGGGGUGGGAUCAUGUGAUACAGAAGAGGAACUGAACUUCAAUAGUCCUGAAACAGCUGGCAGCAAAGAUGACAAAGGUACUGACAGAAAAGUUAUUUUUUUCCUCCUCAUUUUGAUGUUAUGGAUCGAUGUCCAUUCCAGUAGCAGCCUCAAAACCAUAGAUCACCUAGCGCGUGACUUCCAAGUCAACAAGAGACAUUUACAGAUACUACCCGAUAUUGAUGUAUUUUCAGUAAUAGAAAAAAAAAAAUUGACUGCAACAGUGGGAUCACAGCAAGCUCCAUCUGGACUAGCAGCGAUUCACAGGAUGUUGCUAAUGGUUUCAAUCAGAGGAGUCAUCUCUAAGUUUUAUUUAAACCUGGUCACUUUGGGCAUAACUGAAGGGUUUAUGCCACUGCCACGCAAUGAAGAGAGAUUAACAUCCAUCGUGAUUUUGUGGUUUAACACAGCUGGCAGCUAACUACCACACAACCUCUCUCUCACUCUCCCCAUGUGGGAUAGGGAAGAGAUGAGAAAGGUAAAAGUGCGAGAACUCUGUAUCUCCCGUAUGUAUACAGGUGUUGAUGUAUACUGCUGUGUUCUUGUUGUAACAAAUUUAGUUCUCCAAAACAAAAGUUAGAGAAGUAAUAGUAGUACCUUUAAUUUUGGAAUAUAUCUGAGAAGAAUGUUGUGAAUGUUACUAAAAUAAAUGCUUAUUCUG